This 253-nucleotide ribosomal RNA is filed under the name uncultured bacterium. Its description in RNAcentral is "partial 16S ribosomal RNA". It matches the Rfam family "Bacterial small subunit ribosomal RNA", at positions 524 to 776 of the family's 1533-position model. The record is from RNAcentral.
UACGUAGGGCGCAAGCGUUGUCCGGAAUUAUUGGGCGUAAAGAGCUCGUAGGCGGUCUGUUACGUCCGCUGUGAAAACCCAGGGCUUAACCCUGGGCUUGCAGUGGAUACGGGUAGACUAGAGGCAGGUAGGGGAGAAUGGAAUUCCCGGUGUAGCGGUGAAAUGCGCAGAUAUCGGGAGGAACACCGGUGGCGAAGGCGGUUCUCUGGGCCUGUACUGACGCUGAGGAGCGAAAGCGUGGGGAGCGAACAGG